Molecule: ribosomal RNA, 573 nt
Filed under: uncultured Gammaproteobacteria bacterium
Lineage: Bacteria; Pseudomonadati; Pseudomonadota; Gammaproteobacteria
Description: bacterial SSU rRNA
Rfam family: Bacterial small subunit ribosomal RNA
Source: RNAcentral
UAACACAUGCAAGUCGAACGGAAACGGCAGAAACAAUCCCUUCGGGGUGCGUUUUUGGACGUCGAGUGGCGGACGGGUGAGGAAUACAUAGGAAUCUACCCAGUAGCGGGGGACAACUUGGGGAAACUCAAGCUAAUACCGCAUACGCCCUACGGGGGAAAGCGGGGGACCUUCGGGCCUCGCACUAUUGGAUGAGCCUAUGUCUGAUUAGCUUGUUGGUGGGGUAACGGCCUACCAAGGCGACGAUCAGUAGUUGGUCUGAGAGGACGAUCAGCCACACUGGGACUGAGACACGGCCCAGACUCNUACGGGAGGCAGCAGUGGGGAAUAUUGCACAAUGGGCGAAAGCCUGAUGCAGCAAUGCCGCGUGUGUGAAGAAGGCCUGCGGGUUGUAAAGCACUUUCAGUAGGGAGGAAACAGUAACGGGUUAAUACCCCGAUACCUUGACGUUACCUACAGAAGAAGCACCGGCUAACUCUGUGCCAGCAGCCGCGGUAAUACAGAGGGUGCGAGCGUUAAUCGGAAUUACUGGGCGUAAAGCGCGCGUAGGCGGCCUGGUCAGUCGGAUGUGAA